This 478-nucleotide ribosomal RNA is filed under the name uncultured bacterium. RNAcentral's name for it is "partial 16S ribosomal RNA". It matches the Rfam family "Bacterial small subunit ribosomal RNA", at positions 28 to 507 of the family's 1533-position model. The record is from RNAcentral.
GAUGAACGCUGGCGGCGUGCUUAACACAUGCAAGUCGAACGGGAAACCUUUUAAUGAAGCUUCGGCAGAUUUAGCUGGUUUCUAGUGGCGGACGGGUGAGUAACGCGUGGGUAACCUGCCUUAUACAGGGGGAUAACAGUCAGACAUGACUGCUAAUACCGCAUAAGCGCACAGGACCGCAUGGUCCGGUGUGAAAAACUCCGGUGGUAUAAGAUGGACCCGCGUUGGAUUAGCUUGUUGGUGGGGUAACGGCACACCAAGGCGACGAUCCAUAGCCGGCCUGAGAGGGUGAACGGCCACAUUGGGACUGAGACACGGCCCAGACUCCUACGGGAGGCAGCAGUGGGGAAUAUUGCACAAUGGGGGAAACCCUGAUGCAGCGACGCCGCGUGAAGGAAGAAGUAUCUCGGUAUGUAAACUUCUAUCAGCAGGGAAGAUAGUGACGGUACCUGACUAAGAAGCCCCGGCUAACUACGUG